Ipomoea triloba (trilobed morning glory) is the source of this 595-nucleotide RNA transcript. It is a transcript of the gene named protein NOI4, with no coding region annotated. Lineage: Eukaryota; Viridiplantae; Streptophyta; Magnoliopsida; Solanales; Convolvulaceae. The record is from RefSeq and is a predicted model, not a curated record. The transcript is spliced from 3 exons.
GACUCAUUCCCACUUCCCAUCACCAUUUCCGUGUGUGCUUUUCUCCCUCCCCCUGAUCUCUUGUUGGCUAAUAACUCUGUUUCCAUUUGAGGCUCAGCUCCUGCAUAUUCCAUCUCUCAUGACGCCUACUGCAGAGAAAGCGCGGCCGUUGCCGAAAUUCGGCGAGUGGGAUGUGAAUAACCCGGCCUCAGCCGAUGGAUUUACAGUGAUAUUUGCCAAGGCAAGAGAUGAGAAAAAAGGAACCGGAAACUCCGCCGCUCGCCAACCGCCUGCAGCAAGGCCCGGUGAUCCCCGUGAUGACGACCUCCCCACGAAAAGGCGGUUCUGCUGUUUCUGAAACAUGAGUAGGAGGUUGUAAUUUGUAAAGGAUGUGAAAGCAGGGCAGAGGAAGAAAUAAUGUAAUUUCCACAUUUUAUUUUAAAUAUUUUUAUCUAAAAUAUACUUAGUAAGUUAGUAAUUGGUUUUAUUUAUGUCACCAAUUACUAAUUAUUGAAUAGUAUAUUCAUUCAAUCCCGACGUUAGAUAAAACCAACUUAUUAUGUAAAAAUAUCAAAAAAAAAUAAGAAUGUGUUAAUGGUAUUAUUCUUUACUAUUA